AGUUAGAGUGACUCCCAGAUCAUCCAUUGCUUUUUUUUUGUCUCGUACAGUUGCGUGCGCUUUGUUAAGUGGAAUUGUCCAUUAAACGCUAUUCCCAUCUCUCAAAACUUUAUUUUAGAAAGAUUGCAAAUCGCUGUGUCACUGCUUUCUGUUAAAGGCGUAAAAUAAUCCCAGAUUGUUACGUUUUAUCUUACGCUCCUCGUACUGCGAAGGGUAUGCGCAUGACGUCACAGCAGGCGGAAGUCACUGUAAUCACACCCACUGAGUAGCAAAAAAGACUUGAGGGGCGGCGUUAGCGUUUGAUUUGAAUGACUCAAAAAACACAUGUAAAAUGGGAAAGAGCUGUCGUGCGAUUGAUUGUACAAAAAGAUUUAACACGAAAUAGGAGCUAUCUUUUUAGAGACUGCCAAAAACUAAAUAAGGAAGUGCGUGGCUCUGUGCGUUAGGACUCCAUUCCUGUGAUCAGAAGGUCAUUGGUUCAAAUUCCUGAGAGAUCUCACCAUUAGGCGUUUCAGUAAGGUACUUAAUGGCAGUUGCUGCAGGGAUUGGCUGACCCAGUUGUACAGGUAUGUUGUUUUGGAUAAAAGUGUCUGCUACCUAAAGUAAAUGUAAACCCUGUUGGUGUGAAGCAACAGGGCUACCUGUACUGACAUGCUUCAUUUUUAAAACCCAAUCACAUGACACAAACUUUAAAAAUGAUACCACUAAUCAGGUCAGUCACUGGAAAAAGAACAUUCUGUAACUGCCCUAUCAACAAUGGUGUCUUCUUAUCUGCCACCCACAGAUUUUCUUAUCGACAUGUCCAAUGUCACCUGAAGUGUCACAUGUUCAUCCAUCAUUUUAGCAUGUGGAAUCAGCACAGGCAGGUCAAUAUGUGUGGCAUCUCUAAAAUCCCUGAUAAUCUGAAAGGCAGAGUUUUAAUUGGGUCAGAAUGGUCUCAACCACACUCCACCCAUUCGCUUUCUUUAACCAUCAUAGGGUAGCCAGACAGGAACUGAGAAGUUCAGCUACAGGACAACUGAUGAUACCCUGAGUGAAAUUUUCAUUGUGGCUGCACUAACAGGCAGGGUUGCCUGCUAUCUGGUGAGAUCUCUGUCAGUUACAUAAUAUAUCUUGAAGAAAUCUAAAUGCAUUUUUGAUUGGUCAGAUGGAGCUUCAGAUAAAGUAAAAGAAUAAAAAGCGCGUGUCCUUAACCUACCCGUAGCUAUUACAUAAUUAUGAUGGUGCAUACCCUUCAGUUAUAAAGGAAUAUCCAGAGAGAGAAUUGCUGAUCAUCCUGAGAUAUCCUGCUGAUUUAGGAAAAGUACUUUUGGUAACAUGAAAUAGGACAGCAAAACUGGGAUUUAUUCUAAAAUUGGAUGCCUUUGCCUUAAUGAUCAUGCAGUUACUCAUAGAUGUUAAAGGAGCUCUAAAUUCCACUAAAAUAUGUUAAGCUAAUGGAGAAAAUCUUAAUAUUUUUUGGAAAAAUUAAUCUCAGACGCAACAAGUUGUCAUGUCCCGAUGGUUCCGAUCCUCCUGUGUGCCACGCCCCCUCAUUUACUUUGUGUGGAAUCCUCUUGUUAGUUGUUUCUAGUUUUGUAAUUGCUGUGCGUUUUUAAGUGUGUUUCUGUGAAUGUUUCCCCAGUCUGGUCAUCGACGUCAAUCCUGCUUGUUGCUUCGUGUUCCCGAGUGUGUUCUCCCCAAAUAAAUCCUUCCUUCCCCCGAAUCCCUGGACUCCUGUGCCUGCUUCCCCGCUCCAUACCAGCGUGUUCAUGACACAAGUGUGUACAUUUUACAUUCCAUAUCACUAAAAUCAUGGAUUGGAUUGGGCAUGAUCUCCUCACUCCUCUUGGAGGGGGACUUGGGGAGGACAGUAACGCAGCUAAAAGACCCCCAGAGUGGAUGAGAUUCGAGUUCCUGACAGCUUUUGAUCUUGUUAGGCUGUUCUGGCUGAUGCACCUAUGGAACUUUGCGUGGAGGUUUGGGGCAGUCCCUUUGGAUUGGCAGACUGGGGUGGUGGCCCCAGUCUUUAAGAACAAAGACCAUGACUUCUGGUUUGGAUAUGGGAUGGGGUAGACAUGUGUUGAAUCUCGUUUUCCAUAUUUUUUACAUUCUUGUUUUUAAAAAACGAUUAGCUCUAUUAUGUUUAAACAUAAUUGUUGUAAACAGCAAACUAUAAAUACAUGGCCUCCAACUCGAGUAAACAAGGCAGAAAAGACACACCUGCUAUCAUCUUGGAGGCUAUAGUCAAUGAACUUUAAAUGGCUUCCACAGUUGACUUCCUGAAGGAGCGCCAUAAGACACUUGCUAUGGAAUUUAAAUCUACUUCUUCAGCUCUUGAAACAAAGCUAGAGUGAAUUCUGUCUACAAUGUCAGACCAGAAACUUAUGGCUCUCGAGUCCAACUUUAACCAACAUGAUAAGCGCAUACUGGCUCUGGAAACCACCUGCGCUACAAUGCUAAGAUGCUAUCUAAAGUUACGGACCUAGAGUCCCAUAACCGUAGCACAAUAUCAGAAUAGUUAGACUUCCGGAAUGUAUUGAAGGCCCUCGUUCUGCGACUUUCUUCGUAGAGCUGCUAGCAGAGGUCAUGGGCGAUAAUGUUUUGCCCUCUCCACCUGAAUUGGAUCAAGCUCACAGAUCACUCAUGGCUAAAUCAAAGCUCGGUGAGAGGCCGAGGGCCGUCAUCAUCUGAGUGCACAGCUACCAGCAGAAGGAAAAGACGUACGAGCCAGGAGAGAUGACAUGCAGUACGCAAGCGGCCCCAUUGCCAUAUAUGAUGAUUAUGCUCUGGAGGUGAUGGAACAAUGAAAGAAAUACCGUGAAUUCCUGGCAGAACUGCACAACCUGGGCCUUAAGCCAGCCUUGCUGUUCCCUGCUAGGCCAACCAUCAUAACAAAAGAGGGAGAUAAGAAAAGAUUUUCUUUGGUGGAAGAUGCCAAAGCCUACAUAGCAGCAGUGUGUGCUCAGCCUUCUCCACCGGUACUGCUAGACAUCUGACUGGCAUCUGCAACGCACUGGCGACUGAGGUCGUGUUGUGAGCAGUUAACACAUACCGAUCAAGCGCCCAUUUCUCAGUGCUGAUCGCACACCGAUUUGCCUCUGAUUCAGGG
This is a non-coding RNA of Paramormyrops kingsleyae, 3091 nucleotides long. The record is from RefSeq and is a predicted model, not a curated record. NCBI's taxonomy places the organism in Eukaryota, Metazoa, Chordata, Actinopteri, Osteoglossiformes, Mormyridae.